RNAcentral lists this ribosomal RNA (484 nucleotides) under uncultured bacterium. Its description in RNAcentral is "partial 16S ribosomal RNA". It matches the Rfam family "Bacterial small subunit ribosomal RNA", at positions 30 to 507 of the family's 1533-position model. The record is from RNAcentral.
AUUGAACGCUGGCGGCAGGCCUAACACAUGCAAGUCGAGCGGAUGAAGGGAGCUUGCUCCUGGAUUCCGCGGCGGACGGGUGAGUAAUGCCUAGGAAUCUGCCUGGCAGUGGGGGAUAACGUCCGUAAACGGGCGCUAAUACCGCAUACGUCCUGAGGGAGAAAGUGGGGGAUCUUCGGAGCUCACGCGAUCAGAUGAGCCUAGGUCGGAUUAGCGAGUUGGUGGGGUAAAGGCCUACCAAGGCGACGAUCCGUAACUGGUCUGAGAGGAUGAUCAGUCACACUGGAACUGAGACACGGUCCAGACUCCUACGGGAGGCAGCAGUGGGGAAUAUUGGACAAUGGGCGAAAGCCUGAUCCAGCCAUGCCGCGUGUGUGAAGAAGGUCUUCGGAUUGUAAAGCACUUUAAGUUGGGAGGAAGGGCAGUAAGUUAAUACCUUGCUGUUUUGACGUUACCAACAGAAUAAGCACCGGCUAACUUCGUG